GCUGUGAUGGCCGAGUGGUUAAGGCGUUGGACUUGAAAUCCAAUGGGGUUUUCCUGCGUAGGUUCGAAUCCUACUCACAGCG
This is a transfer RNA of Loxodonta africana (African savanna elephant), 82 nucleotides long. It matches the Rfam family "tRNA". Rfam says of the family: Transfer RNA (tRNA) molecules are approximately 80 nucleotides in length. Their secondary structure includes four short double-helical elements and three loops (D, anti-codon, and T loops). The record is from Rfam. NCBI's taxonomy places the organism in Eukaryota, Metazoa, Chordata, Mammalia, Proboscidea, Elephantidae.